This 1720-nucleotide long non-coding RNA is filed under the name Homo sapiens (human). Its description in RNAcentral is "non-protein coding lnc-DNAH6-14:1". The record is from RNAcentral. Lineage: Eukaryota; Metazoa; Chordata; Mammalia; Primates; Hominidae.
AAAAAAGGUUCAUACCCAAAUUACAUAAAAACAUCUAUCACAUGUGCCUUCAUUAUCCUCAUCCCUACAACGUUUAUAUGCGCAGACCAAGAAGUCAUUAUAGCAAACUGACAUUGAAUGAUGAUCCAGAUUCUCAAACUCUCACUAACCUUCAAACCAGGCUAUUUUUCUGCAAUAUUUAUCCCCGUAGCACUAUUCAUUACCUGAUCUAUUGUAAAAUUCUCAAUAUGAUAUAUAAACUCAGACCCUAACAUUAAUCCAUUUUUCAAAUAUUUACUUAUUUUCCUCAUCAUAAUAUUAAUUCUGGUUCCCGCCAACAACCUCUUUCAACUCUUUAUCGGAUGAGAAGGUGUAGGAAUUACGUCUUUCUUACUAAUCGGCUGAUGGUAAGGGUGAGCAGAUGCUAAUACAGCAGCCCUCCAAGUGGUUCUGUACAACUGCAUCGGUGAUAUUGGCUUUAUUUUAGCUAUAGCAUGGUUCCUCCUGUCCUCCAACACAUGAGAAUUUCAGCAAACAUUUAUUCUAGAUCCUACCCCCAACUCUCUUCCAUUAAUUAACCUUCUCUUAGCAGCAACAGGAAAGUCAGCUCAAUUCGGCCUCCAUACCUGACUUCCAUCCACCAUAGAAGGUCCAACCCCAGUCUCAGCCCUACUCCACUCCAGCACUAUCGUUAUAGCAGGAGUUUUCCUGCUCAUCUACUUCUACCCUUUAAUAGAAAAUAAUUUAUCAAUCCAAACCUUUACAUUAUGUCUGAGGGCUGUUACUACCUUAUUCACAGCAACCUGUGCUCUAACACAAAAUGACAUUAAAAAAAAUCAUAGCAUUCUCCACCUCAAGCCAGCUAGCCCUUAUAAUAGUCACAAUUGGCAUUAAUCAACCACAUCUAGCCUUCCUUCACAUUUGCACCCAUGCCUUUUUUAAAGCUUUAUUAUUUAUAUGUUCAGGGCUCAUCAUCCAUAGACUCAAUGUUGAAUAACACAUCCGAAAAACAGGAGGGCUAUUCAAGACUUUACCCCUCACUUCCUCCUCCCUUAUUAUCAGCAGUCUUGCACUUACAAGUAUGCCUUUCUUCACAGGCUUUUACUCUAAAGACCUCAUCAUUGAAACUACAAACAUGUCAUACACCAAUACCUGUGCCCUUUUUGUUACUCUUAUUGCCACCUCCUUGACAGCUGUCUAUAGUACCCAUAUUAUUUUCUUCACUCUAACAGGACAACCUCGCUUCACAACUCUGAUUACUAUUAACGAAAAUAACCCCUUCCUAAUCAACUCAGUUAAGCACCUAAUAAUAGGCAGCAUCUUUGCCAGAUUCCUCAUCAUCAACAGUAUCAUUCCUGCUUCAUUCCCCCAAACAAACAUGCCACUCCACCUGAAACUCACAGCCCUAGGUGUGACCAUUUUAGGCUUCUCGCUAGCGAUGGAGCUUAAUUUUAUAACUAAUGACCUUAAACUAAAAUACCCAUUACAGACAUUCAACUUUUCCAAUAUACUAGGAAUUUAUUCAGCCACAAUUCACCAUACAACCUCCCACUCAGACCUAUUCAUAAGCCAAAAUCUGGCCUCACUUCUACUAAACCUAAUUUGACUAGAAGAGUCUAUACCAAAGACCAUUACACAAACCCAAAUUUCAGGCUCCAUUACCGUAUUUACUAAAAAAGGACUAAUUAAACUGUACUUUCUCUCCUUUUUUAUUCCAUCAUUUAUAACACUACUCCUAAUU